CAAUCGCAGGACCCACUCUGCCAUUUGUCCUGGAUCCUACUGGUUCCCCUAAUGCGGCGCGCCAUAUGAGUGAAAACCUGGUCAAGCACAUCAGAUACUGGUUUGAGCAACGAAACCCACAGAACCGGCACAGAAUCUGUGUUCAGCAAUGUUCCCUGCCAGGCGACAACAAUACCUCACACCAAGCAAAGAGACGGCUACAAUUGUGUUGUUUAUGUGCUUCUGAGGGAGUGCUCCACAUGCUCCAGUUGAUACCACACCACCUGUGCCGGGUGUAUCAUCACCAUCUACCAUCAACACAGAGAUAAUCCUGCCUUACAAUGGAUGUGCCCACCCUGCCACCAUUGAAGGCCUGCACACCAAGGCUACUAUUGCGUCAAUACGGUGUCAAGAUGUUUCAAGGAUGGGGGUCCAACAACGCAGCAAGAGAGGCAAUCCAUGUGUGGGAGAUCUUCACCUCAUACUUCUUCGAAGAGGGUGCUGUUCCAAGGGUGCAAACACCAUAGACUACACUAUGCACAACCAAAGGCUCUUUUAAGAGCCAUCCACACUGCACUAAGAGUAUUCUUCCCAUGUACUCUUCAUAUAAUGAAUUAAAAUGCCUUUAUUUGUAUGGCAUGUUCAAUAGAAAAAUGGCAGCAGCCAAAACGCUUCGCAUUAAAAAAAAAAAAAAAAAAAAACUUUGUUUCUAUUGAACAUGCCAUACAAAUAAAGGAAUUUUAAUUCAUUAUAUGAAGAGUGCCUUGGUCCUUCUUUUUGAUGACCAAUUUACCUCUUUUACCAAAGAGCCCCUUCUGUCUACCUAAAUGUACUAUUGUGUACCUUAGUAGCGCUUUCCUUCCUCCUCUUUCUAAGAGUAUUCUUCCAUUUACUUAGCUAAUGUCAACUGCAGUUAUUCAAUUCCCAGUUUCUCUCCCUUUGAUUACUACUUCUCAGGUGAGGGUGCUGUUUAAGGGUGUGAUGUCUGUACAAAAACAAAACAGGCUAUUUUAAGUCACCCAUAUUUAAAACAAUUAGACACCUUAUAACCCACACAUUCAUUUAUCAAUAUGUUUGAUGGAUUGUGUUGUGCAGUAAAAGCAAGCUCAGAUGUAUAACUGUGGCUCCUUUGACCUUCAAAAGAAUAGGCAAGAUGAAACUUCUUUAUUUCUAUAACUACGCUAUAUUGUUUGUCCUCGUGUGUCUGUGCAGGUUUUUCAGCAUAAAGUACUCUGUAGCCACUUAGUGUAGACACCAGGUGAGGCCACACACAGAUUCCUGUUGAACAGUGUCUCUUCAACUACCUUAUUUUCUCAAUAACGGUCUCUCCUUCACUUCAUCCUUCUCUCCCCUUCUCCCUAAAUCUUGUUGGUUAUCAGCUGUGUCGGUGAACCCCUCCUGCAUCUGAACUGGCUCCAUAGAGGGCACAGCAUGAUCAGAGCUAUGUUUUGAUGUGAGAGAGGAUGCCAAACCCCAGUCCCGUCAUCGCCACAUCACCCGCUCUUAAGAUACCAUUUGGACCAACUGGGAGCCCAAGGCUGGUUAGGAGACACCACUAGAGACAAUAUUAUGUAACUGUGAUGAACUGAGAGAAUAUUAAGUUAAGUAGCACUGUAAUUCAUUAAUCAUAUGCUGUCUUCCCUGCUCCUCUGUUCUUACCACUUCCUGUCUUUUACACUCACACCUCUCUCCCCACCUCUUUCUUCCUGUUUAUAUAAUGCACACCAGACAUCCAAUGAAGUACAGAUGUAACUUUUAUUUAUAUUACAAUUAUAAUAUUUAUAAUUCAUGUAUUAUGAAUUUAUAACACUUUGAACUUCUUUCGAAGCGUUUCACAUUCUCUAAUGGUUUAAAUAGUCAAUAAUUUGAUGAAAAACUACACCUAUUCUGUGCCCUCAGAUCAGUGCAGAUGAUUAAUUAGAAUAUUUUUUUUCAAGUAUUUACAUAAUGCAUAGGAAGUAGUGUACUUUCUUUUAAAUUCUAUUUCUGUAUAUAUGAAAUACAAAUCAGCCUUUAACUAGUUAAAUCAUGUUUCUAGUCUACGGCCUAUAGGGAAAUCAGAGACCUGGCAGUGUGGUGCAGGACAACAACCUCUCCCUCAAUGUGAGCAAGACAAAGGAGAUGAUUGUGGACUACAGGAAAAUGCCGAACAGGCCUCCAUUAACAUCGAAAGGGGCUGUAGUGGAGUGGGUCGAGAGUUUCAAGUUCCUUGGUGUCCCCAUCAACAAACUAUCUCUUUAAAAAUGUUAUACCUUUAUUUAACUAGGAAAGUCAGUUAAGAACAAAUUCUUAAUUUUCAAUGACAGCCUAAGAACAGUGGGUUAACUGCCUUGUUCAAGGGCAGAACAACAGAUUUUUACAUUGUCAGCUCGGGGAUUCGAUCUUGCAACCUUUCGGUUACUAGUCCAACUCUCUAACCACUAUGCUACCUGCUGCCCCAAUCAUGGCACAAACAUACCAAAACAGUCGUGAAGAGGGCACGACAAAACCUUUUCCCCCUCAGGAGACUGAGAAUAUUUGGCAUUUGUCCCCAGAUCCUCAAAAGGUUCUACAGCUGCACCAUCAAGAGCAUCCUGACCGGUUGCAUCACCGCCUGGUAUGGCAACUGCUCGUCAUCUGACCGUAAGGCGCUACAGAGCGUAGUGAGAACAGCCCAGUACAACACUGGGGCUAAGCUUCCCGCCAUAUAAUAGGCGGUGUAAGAGGAAAGCCCAUAAAAUUGUAAGAGACUCCAGUCACCCAAGUCAUAGGCUGUUUUCUCUGCUACCGCACAGCACGUGGUACCGGAGCGCCAAGUCUAGGACCAAAAGGCUCCUCAACAGCUUCUACCCCCAAACCAUAAGACUGCUGAACAAUUAAUAAAAUCGCCACCGGACAAUUUACACGCCUCCCCCCCCCCCCCCCCCCCCCUUUUGUACACUGCUGUUUUAUCUAUGCAUUGUCACUACAUGUACAAAAUACCUCAACUAACCUGUACCCCAGCACACUGACUUUGAACCGGUUCCCCCUGUAUAUAGCCUAGUUAUUCUUACUGUUACUUUUUAUCAUACAUUUUUAUUAUUUUUGUCUACUUGGUAAAUAUUUUCUUAACUCUUCUUGAACUGCACUGUUGGUUAAUCGCUUGUAAGUAAACAUUUCACUGUAAAGUAUACACAUUGCAUAGUUACAAUGUGUAACCAUAGAUGUCCCAGGACCAGGAUUGGUAAACACUGUUGAAGUGUAUAAUUGUAAUACAUACAUGCAGACACAGCAUCAUUCAAGUUUGAUACUCUUGUUAUUGGAUAUGACUGAAAAAGAAUGUCACAGACAUUCAUACCUGAACCGCAACUUUAUUUGCCAAGGUAGAGCACAUGAUCAGUGAAUAUAUUCAAUGUACAGGCUACAAUGUGAGGAUCUCAUGCUUGGUAAUAACUACAUAUACAUAUAUAUAUAUAUAUAUAUUCCAUCCUUGGCACAAUAAAGUAAAAUUAUACUCAA
This is a long non-coding RNA of Salvelinus fontinalis (brook trout), 3456 nucleotides long. RefSeq lists it as uncharacterized. The record is from RefSeq and is a predicted model, not a curated record. NCBI's taxonomy places the organism in Eukaryota, Metazoa, Chordata, Actinopteri, Salmoniformes, Salmonidae. The transcript is spliced from 4 exons.